Molecule: long non-coding RNA, 611 nt
Organism: Pectinophora gossypiella (pink bollworm)
Lineage: Eukaryota; Metazoa; Arthropoda; Insecta; Lepidoptera; Gelechiidae
Exons: 4
Source: RefSeq, a predicted model, not a curated record
UUAUGAUGUUAAGGUACUUACCGAAAAUUCGAUAACGCGUUUCGAAAGUUUGGGACGUGUUAAAAAAAUCUUGGCUAAGGUUUUUGGUGUUUUGACGGGACGUUCAUUUCUUAUUAGUGAAAAAAAUACCCACAAAAUAGAUAUCGCAUCACGAUGUCAUUGUGACGCCUACACAGUGUUUCUUUAUUAUUUUGUUGUAAACGCUGUAUUAUCUAACUUUCACCAUGUACCAUAAGUGUAGUGUAGACGAAAGGACGUAAAUGGAACGCCGAUGGGACGACGCCGAUAGAACCAAUAAGUUGGUCUGUUUGGGACAGUCGCUAGUGAAAAAAAGUGGCAGAAGUCUGAGAAUGCAAUUCACUAAAACAUUUAUUACUUUUAAGAAAAUGUCUCUCAUGAGCACAAUUUUUGCAAGAGGAGACUGCAUGACGACCAUUCCUACAGCAAAGUUGAAGUUCCAGAGAAACGUAUAAGAGUCGAAAGUGAUGCACCCAUUUACUCCACCCCUCGACGCCUUAGACGAAGAAGGCGUAUGAUUGUCACGAAAAAAUCUCUUGACAUCAAUUUGUGCAAGAAUUUACUCUGAGUACAUGAGAUCCAGCAAACAAUUA